UACGAAGGGGGCUAGCGUUGUUCGGAAUUACUGGGCGUAAAGCGCACGUAGGCGGAUGUCUAAGUCGGGGGUGAAAGCCUUGGGCUCAACCCAAGAAUUGCCUUCGAUACUGGACAUCUCGAGACCGGGAGAGGUGAGUGGAAUUCCGAGUGUAGAGGUGAAAUUCGUAGAUAUUCGGAAGAACACCAGUGGCGAAGGCGGCUCACUGGCCCGGUUCUGACGCUGAGGUGCGAAAGCGUGGGGAGCAAACAGG
This 253-nucleotide ribosomal RNA is filed under the name uncultured bacterium. RNAcentral's name for it is "partial 16S ribosomal RNA". It matches the Rfam family "Bacterial small subunit ribosomal RNA", at positions 524 to 776 of the family's 1533-position model. The record is from RNAcentral.